AGAGUUCGAUUCUGGCUCAGGAUGAACGCUGGCGGCGUGCUUAACACAUGCAAGUCGAACGGGAAACCUAUUAUUGAAACUUCGGUUGAUUUAAUUUGUUUCUAGUGGCGGACGGGUGAGUAACGCGUGGGUAACCUGCCCUAUACAGGGGGAUAACAACCAGAAAUGGUUGCUAAUACCGCAUAAGCGCACGGGACCGCAUGGUCCAGUGUGAAAAACUCCGGUGGUAUAGGAUGGACCCGCGUUGGAUUAGCUAGUUGGUGGGGUAACGGCCCACCAAGGCGACGAUCCAUAGCCGGCCUGAGAGGGUGAACGGCCACAUUGGGACUGAGACACGGCCCAG
This 343-nucleotide ribosomal RNA is filed under the name uncultured bacterium. RNAcentral's name for it is "bacterial SSU rRNA". It matches the Rfam family "Bacterial small subunit ribosomal RNA", at positions 8 to 334 of the family's 1533-position model. The record is from RNAcentral.